UGGGUUGGCUUGAAAGUUUGUUCGGGAUUUUCAAUAAUAGCUUACGAAAAACCAGAACAAAUUUUUUGGCCAGCUCA
Bison bison bison is the source of this 77-nucleotide microRNA precursor. The record is from Ensembl. Lineage: Eukaryota; Metazoa; Chordata; Mammalia; Artiodactyla; Bovidae.